UACGGAGGAUGCAAGCGUUAUCCGGAUUCAUUGGGUUUAAAGGGUGCGCAGGCGGAAUGAUAAGUCAGUGGUGAAAUCCUACAGCUCAACUGUAGAACUGCCAUUGAUACUGUUGUUCUUGAGUACAUUUGUAGUGGGCGGAAUGUGUCAUGUAGCGGUGAAAUGCUUAGAGAUGACACAGAACACCGAUCGCGAAGGCAGCUCACUAAACUGUAACUGACGCUCAGGCACGAAAGCGUGGGUAGCAAACAGG
RNAcentral lists this ribosomal RNA (253 nucleotides) under uncultured bacterium. Its description in RNAcentral is "partial 16S ribosomal RNA". It matches the Rfam family "Bacterial small subunit ribosomal RNA", at positions 524 to 776 of the family's 1533-position model. The record is from RNAcentral.